UCCCUACUAGCUCAAAUGGUAAAGUGUCUGUCUGCAAUACAGGAGACCUGGGUUCGAUUCCUGGGUUGGGAA
This 72-nucleotide transfer RNA is filed under the name Ovis aries (sheep). It matches the Rfam family "tRNA". Rfam says of the family: Transfer RNA (tRNA) molecules are approximately 80 nucleotides in length. Their secondary structure includes four short double-helical elements and three loops (D, anti-codon, and T loops). Further hydrogen bonds mediate the characteristic L-shaped molecular structure. tRNAs have two regions of fundamental functional importance: the anti-codon, which is responsible for specific mRNA codon recognition, and the 3' end, to which the tRNAs corresponding amino acid is attached (by aminoacyl-tRNA synthetases). tRNAs cope with the degeneracy of the genetic code in two manners: having more than one tRNA (with a specific anti-codon) for a particular amino acid; and 'wobble' base-pairing, i.e. permitting non-standard base-pairing at the 3rd anti-codon position. The record is from Rfam by way of RNAcentral. Lineage: Eukaryota; Metazoa; Chordata; Mammalia; Artiodactyla; Bovidae.